GGCUGGUGAUGGCGGCGGCUAUGGGUUCCGCGCUGUUGCCCCUCUUGGCGUUUCUCGGGCCCGCGGCCGCGCUCGCCGGAUACAUCGAGGGAGUGAUUUCCCUUGGUGUUGCAGAGCAGGCAGUUUUUCCUUCCACCUUUGGAGUAAAGCUUUCAGCACGUGAUUGUUUUGUGCUUAGAAGCCCUCAGUGAAGUGUCAAAUUACUUAAAACUCAUCAAGAACCUGCCCAUCAGGUGGGUACAGCUGCAGCAUGUGAAUUCUUCCACUAAUCUUAUGGUCAAUUGUAUUUCAUCUAAGCCGACAGAAAAGAAUAGUGUUCUCUUCCCUACCUUGAAAUUUUUCAGAAAAUUAAUAAAGAAACAUCAAGGAAAUAAUUAUCAGUGUACAGAGAGUUCAUGCUUCCCACUGAAACCUGGGAGAGAUUAUUAACAAAAUCUCAUUUUAUCAAAAACAAAAUGGGAGAGGUGAUUUUUAUCUAUUUCCAUGCAGUGCUAUACAAUCUGAUACAGCUCAAUAGGGUGAAGAGCUAUAAAAUUCAGCAUAAGAAAUUCAGGUGUUCAACAUACAAA
This 569-nucleotide long non-coding RNA is filed under the name Geospiza fortis (medium ground-finch). RNAcentral's name for it is "lncRNA (ENSGFOG00000007470.1)". The record is from RNAcentral. Lineage: Eukaryota; Metazoa; Chordata; Aves; Passeriformes; Thraupidae.